RNAcentral lists this ribosomal RNA (631 nucleotides) under Strombidium sp. RNAcentral's name for it is "partial large subunit ribosomal RNA". It matches the Rfam family "Eukaryotic large subunit ribosomal RNA", at positions 40 to 664 of the family's 3401-position model. Lineage: Eukaryota; Ciliophora; Spirotrichea; Strombidiidae. The record is from RNAcentral.
AUAUCACUAAGCGGAGGAAAAGAAACUAACUAGGAUGGCCUCAGUAACGGCGAGUGAAGCGGCCAAAGCCCAAGAUGGUAAUCUCCGUUUUACGGCGAAUUGUAAUCUUGAGUGGCUAUGCUCACCGGGAAUCGACGUCCAAGUGCCCUCGAACGGGCCGCCAUAGAGGGUGACAGCCCCGUACGAUGUCGAGUCCUAACGAGCAAGUCUACAAAGAGUCGGGUUGUUUGGUAUUGCAGCCCUAAUCGGGAGAUAAACUUCUUCUAAGGCUAAAUAUAUGUGGGAAACCGAUAGCGAACAAGUACUGUGAAGGAAAGAUGAAAAGCACUUUGGAAAGAGAGUCAAAAGACCUGAAACCGUUGAGAAGGAAGCGGUAGAGAUGAAUUCUACAGUAAGACAUUGGGAAAUUGAUCUAUCUAUUUUAAUUUUAUCAUUCGUCAAAGGUGGUAUUUUAAAUCUAGGGAAAUCAAUCACUUAUGUACUACUGUGAGGCCGGAUGGGGUUAUAUAGUCUCAAAACUUUCUUAUGAUUGACUUCCUUCGGGAGGUACCAUAAGUUUCUUAAGAAUAUAUAGCCUGAGGUUGCCUUGUGCGAUCCGGUCAAAAUGGUCUUUACCGACUCGUCUUGACGG